Molecule: long non-coding RNA, 8894 nt
Organism: Equus caballus (horse)
Lineage: Eukaryota; Metazoa; Chordata; Mammalia; Perissodactyla; Equidae
Source: Ensembl
GUAAAAUUACUGUCACUGAAAGUAAAUUCAAAUAACAAUUACGAAAGCAAAACGAACUCUUUUUCUCUAUUGUACUGUGAACAAAGCUGUCGUGGCCCCUCCCACUCUGGCAAAGGUUGGCAGUUGAAAUGGCUUAUCAUCAGGAUGGUGUCAAUAGCUGUGUGUGUUUGUGAGGGCAAAUGUGUUUGGAGAAGUAAAUGCACUGAGGUUGGCAAAAUCCGUUAUUGUCUGGUGAGCCAAGUGACCAUAAGAAUCCUAUUCCGCUCCUCUGGGAUGAGAAGGCGAGUCCUGCUGUUCCAGGAAGAUGCCAUGCCAGGGGCAGUUUGAGCCCAAGUUCCACAGACUAAGCACAAAGCGUUAUCCAUGGUGAAAAUGGCUCAGCCUCCCCCGGCCAGGCACUCCUUAUCUUAUAUUUGAGAAACAUAAAGGUGGAGAAACCUGUGGCCUUGGUUUGCUCAUCCGCAAACUUGGGAAGAUGUGUGGGUGACUGUAUUAUCCCCAGUGCUGGACCCACACCAGGAAAAUCAGGGCUGAAAGUGGGGAGUGUCCUCUUCCUUUCAAGAAAGAAGGAUGGGAAGGGGCCCACGGCAGCCCCCGGGCUCCCAGCCGAGGAGAAGCAACACUGGACGUAACCCAGCACUGCCACCAUCUUCUCCUGGCUGGGGCAGCCGCAGCGCUUUAUCCUUCCAUGCAGGCUGUCUGUUCAUGCCCUCAGGAGGAAGAACCAAGCCAGCACCUUGUUCAUCUUGUGAAGGAAAUGUGGCAAGCCUGUUUAAGUUACCAAGUAAAGGAGAAUGGUACUCGGCUCCUUGUUAUCCUGGAAAGGCAAUUUCAUAGGACUCUGAGCCCUACACUUAUGUCUUGGAACCCUGGGGUGCAUUUUCCGAGGGUCUUUUCUCUUUUAAGAGAACAUUCCAGAACAUCAUAAGUGGUGACUUUAAAUUCUUCACCCCUUUCAUUAUCGAAAGAAUAGAUUUCGGAGAGGAGCAUAACUGUCUUCUGCCAUAGCCUUCAGUCUAACCUGCUCUUACAGGAUGACUCACUUCAUCGUGGCUGGGUUUUAAUAGUAUGUGGCAUUGAGGAGGCUGCUUCUAAAUGACUAAUCUUGAAUUACGGAUGGAUCUUUAAAAAUAUGUUGUAGAACAGGCCAUGUUUAUUUUUAGUGGCUUUCUCCCCAUAAUGUUAUCUGCAUAUUUCCCUGUCCAUGUGCUUGGUCACUGAUGACAAGCAAGGAAAAGUGUGAUGUCUAAGGAGGACAUGCAAAAGAAUGUUUGAAGAUUUUCCCUUCCCUUAUUUUCUGGCAGUGACUUGUGUUUAGGAGAAUUGGCACUUAAACAAGAUAAUUCAACUUUUUAAAUUUUUUUUAAGCCAUCAAUUGUUCUUCUGAAUGACAGUGAUCCCCAUUAAGGGAGAUUGGGUGAGGGGUGGAGAGAGAAUCAAACAGCACUUCAAAGAAGGAGAAGCAACAACUUCCAGCAUUUCCACCAUGAUUUUCAUCUCAGAGUCUUUAAGCACCAUAGAAACAGGUGGUCAAAGGAGACUUGACUGACAAUUUACAAAAUAGACUAGAGGAAAGCAGAAUUUUUUUAAAAGUUCACAUACUUUUUGGUAGAGUUUUGGGGACUCUGGCCACAAGAUAUCCUACUUCUCUUACUGCCUCUGACACACCAGGGCUUUCUCUAACCACAGGCUGCGUAAAUUGCCCCUUAUUGAUACAAUUUGGGAAGUCAUGCUCAGAGACACCCUCCCCCCACCCCAGAUUCCUUCCUGACAAGCCCAUCUCGGUGCUUGAAAGUUUACUGCUAAAGAAUCAUUGAUUGGGGCAGCCUGGUGGCAUGGUGGUUAAGUUUGCGCCCUCAGUUUCAGUGGCCUGGGGUUCACUGGUUUGGAUCCUGGCUGCAGACCUACACACGGCUCAUCAAGCCAUGCUGUGGUGGCAUCCCACAUACAAAAUAGAGGAAGACUGGCACAGAUGUUAGCUCAGCGACAAUCGUCCUCAAGCAAAAAGAGGAAGAUUGGCAACAGAUGCUAGCUUACGGCCAGUCUUCCUCGCCAAAAAGAAGAAUCAUCAUCAUUUAUUUAUUCAUUUAUUUGUUCAACCAAUUCUUAGUCUGUGCCUAUUAGGUGCUAGAGGAGAAUGACACGGCCUCAGCACAAAUUGCCAGUACUUCCCGUGUCUUAAGAUCAUGGCCAACAUCACUAAUAGAUUAUUCUGCUGCUUUUUGAAGAACUAAGAUGCAGACAGCCAACCCAGAUAGUAUGAAUUUGUUCAUGUCACUCCCCUACUCAGAAUUCCUCGAUUGCUUCCCUCUUUGUAUGAUGAAGACCGAAGUCUUUACUGUGGCCCCCAAAGGCCCAUGUGACCUGGCCCUGCCUCCUCUCUGGUGUCCCCCUAGACCAGCCUCAUCUUUGCUCUCUGUCCCCCAGCUACAUUAUCUUUCUUCUAGCUCCCCCAAGGGUCCGUCUUCCUUCUGGCUUUAGGAUCUUCAAACUUGCUGUCCCUCUGGCUAGAAUAGUCCCUGCUCGUCCCAGCACACCCUCUUUACCUAGUUAACUCCUGUUUGUUCUCGAGAUCCCAGCUCAGACGUCACAUCCUCAGGAGCCUCCCCUUGAUGAGCCUUGCGCCUGGUCUGGGCUGGAUCCCCCUUCUCCUCGCCUUCAUGGCACGAGGUCCUGUUCUGCCCAGCACUGAUUACGGUUUACAGUUAGAUUCAUCUGUGCUGUUAGCAUCAGUCGCCCCGACAGACCUUCAUGUCGCGUUGUCUCAGCACAUUAUUCUGGAGCUGAGCUUGAUACCUGGUGCUUACUUAGCAGGUACUCAGUUCAAAUGUAUUGCAUCAAUGAGUAUGAGCAGACAUGUGAAAGGAAGUCCCUUCUUCAUUGUUUUUCAGGCUGAGCACUGGGGACAAAAAGUGAAAUACAGUGGAAAGAACAUGCGCUUUGGAGUCAGACAGGGAAAGGGAAAAUGCCAGUUGUUCACCUACUCCCUGCGUGACCCUGGCAAGGGGCUGAGCAGCCAUCAUUUAUAGAGCGAGUGCUGUGUGCCAGGAACUAGGCAGGUAUUUUAUCCAUAUGCCCUCGUUCAGCCCUCACGACAACAUUAUGGUUUGAUAUUGUUGUAUCUAUUUUACGGAGAAGCAAAUUGAGAUGUUGAGAGGUCACAUAGCUAACGAUUUACUUAUUUAAGUGGCAGAGAGAGGAGUCAAAUUUGUGUUUGUCUGGUGCCAGGGUCCACGCUCCUGAACACUGUCUGUGUUGUUUAAUGUCUGCAAGGUUGAGUUUGCUCGCUUUGAAACAGGACGGUAAUUUUGUAAGUAACUCUGUCCUGAGAGCUCGUGUCUUAUAAUCUCCUCUUCACCCACUUGCACUAUCAGAUGAAUCCCUGUGCUCAGUGGACUACUGGAGGCGAAUGCUUGCUAGGGGCCGGUAGACAGGGUGAGUAAACUGGUUGAAUUCACAGUUUUCCUGUUAGUUUCAGUUAGCCUUUGCUGCACCACAAACCACCCCAAAACACCGUGGCUUAAAACAACAACUAUUCACUAUUUCUCACGCUUCUGUGGGUUGGCUGGGUGGCUUCUCAGCCUGUGUCACCUGGAUUCACUCAUGUGGCUCUAUUCACUGGCAGGCUAGAGGAGAUGGAAGGAAGUAGAGCGUGGUCGGUGGCAGCUAUAGGCACCUUAGCUCUCCCCUCAGGAGGCUCAGGGGCUUCCUGCCACAGCCCUCUCAGGGCAUGCCGGGGCGGGGGGCGGGGAAGCAGAAGCUGCUGGGCUUCUUGAGGCCCAGCCCCACAGGUCUCACAGCAUCACUUCCACCACGUUCUCUUGGCCUGGGCCAGUCACAAGGUGGCCCGAUUUGAGGGAUGGGGAAAUAGAUGUCCCCUCUAGAAAGUGGGGGAGCCAAAGACUCAUUGCAAAGGAGCAUAGGAGAAAUUAUUAUGACAUCUUUAAAAAUAAAAACCCACACACAACAUAUGAUGGAAUAUGGCACAGUCACCAAAAAUAAUGUUCACCAACAUUUGCCAUCAGUAUAAGAAAUGCCUUAUGAAAAUGGGAGAACAACCAUAUGCAUUAUUAUUAUAGCAAAACUUAGGAGCAAACAAACCACACAUAGAUGAAAGUGCAAAGUGAGGGAAUAAAAACACGCAAAUGAGAGAGGAAGAGGUGGAGCCCGACCUUCUGGGUGCUUCCAGGAUUCACAGCACCAGGCAGUUGACAGAGAGGAGCCUUGACACCCGCUCUGGAGGCUGCCUGGGGGAUGACGCACGCACAGAUGUGGGGGCUCUUUUCUCCUGGUCCCAGGGGCAUCUUGCCUUGCCGUAAUUCCCGGCUUCCUUCUGGAUCCUCUCUCGUCUUUUCAUCAUCCUCCCUAAGACAAUGGUCCUCUCUGAGGUUUGGGGUUGCUGUCGUUGCAAUGUGUGCUCUCCUCUCUGAUAAAACAGCCCUUGCGUGCACUUCAGCAGCCCGUGGCCAGCUGUCCACCCCGUGCAGCUUAAGCUGAGAGGCCAAGGUCCAGCACCGGAGGACUCCAGGCUUCUCCCGAGCAGUCUGAACUGACCACUCUGCCCCGCACAGUCUUCCCAGGGUUGGGAGGAGGCACAGCUGGAGGCAGAGGCCCCGUGAGUCCAGGGACCAGGCCUGGAGCAAAGUGAGGCUGGGAGCCAGAGCACUUGCUGCCCUCAGCUGGGAGGGCUUCUCCCUUAGAAGGACCCACAUCUCAGCUUAAUAAAAGGGCUACGGAUGCCUUUAGGGCUCCCUGGGGGCGAUUGUCCUUUAAUGACAUGAAGACUUCUUUAGGGCCCCUGUGUAAGGUUUAUCCUUUCUUUGUAGAAUCUUCUGGCUUUAGCGCUGAGAAGAACGCUAGCCAUUACUGUGCUCUCCCAGCGUCCCCCCAAGGACCCUGCACCCCACGAGGCUCUGCAUUAACCAGAUGCUUUUGCUGGAUGUAGGAGAUUUUUUUGGAAACUCAUAUUUUAGCUUUAAUACUUUUGUAAAUUUGAUAUUCUACUCUUCUAAAAAUCUGAUUGUUUUAAUGAAAUCAUAAUGUUUUCAGUAUCUAUCAAAUAAUGACUUUCCAAGAAGAAUAUCCCAUGUAUUCCUUUGUCUUCACAUGCCCCAAGCUUGAGUAUCAGGACUGAGAAAUACAGACACAGCAGAAUCUCUCCUUUUACUGGUGAGGGACCAAGGCUCCAAGGUUGGUUGAUGGUCCUCAGUCCUGGGGUGACCCGCAGUCCAGGCUGGUCAGCUCCCUGUGCUGACUCCUGCCUGGACGUCCUCCCCUCACAGCCGUCGGCUCUGGGGUCCUCCUCAGCCUCGGACUGGGGUUUCGUUGGAGAGAAAGGAGACGAGAGGUAAUAUCUUCCAGAUGUCAAAAAGAUGACGUUACUUCUACAAUUUAAUUGCUUGUAAUAAUGAAGGGGUUGAGAGAAGCAGGGAGUAAUUAAAGAUUUUGAGUAAAGCAGAAGUUCAGGUUUAGCAAGUUAAUGAUGUUGGCAGGCGCAGAGGACAGGGAACUCCAAAGCCACAACCACCUACCCUUUUUGAGAAGAAUGUGGCUAUGGUGACUGUGUUUUACAAACCAAAACUACAGCCUGACAAAGAAAUCGAAAACACGCUUUAAAGAAAAGAAGUCACUUUUGACUUAGGAAUUUAUUUUUUGUAAGCCUUAAUAAAGGAAUACAAAUAAAUCUAUAUACUUACACAUUUUAAAUAGCCUUUUGGAAAAGAAUGAAAGUACCUAUAAUUGGGACUCCCCCAGAAAGUCUGCCUUAUAAAAUCUGCCUCAAGAGAGAAAGAGGACUUUUUUUGAUGUGUUGCAUUCAUGAGUUCGUGGGUUUUAGAAGUUUUCAUUUUGCUGCAUAUUCACUCCCUCCAUCACAUCACUGAACUCCCGUGGGUCAAUUCCUGCAUCUGUAAAAUGACAGAAUUAUACAAUUGCUAUGGACCUUUAAAGUUUUGAAAUUCUGUGAAUCUAUGCCUGCCUCAAGCAUUUCCUUUCAAACGUGCCUUUCAUAUUUUAUUUAACAAAUGACUUCACUGGUUGGUAGAGGAAAGAGACUUGAAGGACCGGCACGUGUACCACCUCUUGCUACGGCCCUGAGAGAAUGCUGUCCUGAAGUCAGCCCCCAGCCUCCGAUGCACUGCGAGAAUCUCAGGGGCUAGACAGGAAUGGCCAACGGCAGGUACUCAAGUGUUACCAACAAAGGAAGGGUUGAAUGAAUGUGUCUGUAUCUAUUGUUACUUUGGAUGUUAGUUCAGGAAAUGCCUUUUUAUUUUUUCCUGGGAGGACAUCUGUCAUUUUAUUAAAAUACUUUGUAUAAAGUUUUCAAACUGAAGCAAAGUGAUUGCCCUUACAAGCUCACAAUUUAUAUAACAAAUUAGCAUAAACUGAUACUCAUUUUAAUAGAAGGUGAUGGAAGAAAAUAUGGAAUUUAUUUUGUGAAAUCUUGGUAUGUAGCUAACUAAAAUAUUUUAAUAACUUUAUUGAUACAUAAUUCACAUGCCAUAAUGUUCACCCAGUUAAAGUAUACAAUUCAAUGGUUUUUAAUAAAUUUAUAGAGUUGCUCAAUUGUCACAAUAAUUUAGAACAUUGUCAUCACCCUAACAAGAAACUUUGUACCCAUUAGCUGUCAUCUCCCUUCCCCUCUCCCCACCUCUCCUCACUCCUCAGUCCCAAGCAACCACUAGUCUACUUUCUUCCUCUAUAAAUGUGCCUUUUCUGGACAUUUCGUAUAAAGCUAAAUAAAAGAUGACAUUACUUAUUGUAACAUAAUCCCGAUUAUGAUAUGUCCAAUCCACCCUUGUGGACAAGCACAUGCAUAUUUACCCAAAUUCACAUAUCCAAAUCAAAGGAGGCACACUUCGAUAUCAAAGUGGAUUGCCUUCCAUCAUUUAUACUUCUCUUUAUUUUCCAACUUUCUGCACUGGGGAUGCGUUGGUUCUCUAUCAAAUGUUGUUCUUUUGAAUUUUAACAGUUUUUAGGCCACUUAGGUCAUAUUGAUGAUGCUGUGAAGUGAUUGUAGAGGGUGUAUAGGGUCUUCAUUUUUAUGAAGUAAUGAAGAAUUAGACUAAUGUUGAAAUAUGUCUACUUCAUGAUGAACCUCUCUUUUCAAGUUUAGCAGCUUUACCUUUUAGUCCACAUUUUCCCAAUCCUUUAUUAUAAAUUUGAUUUCUGCUUACACAUGAUAUAGUUUGUAAGAGCUUUUAAAUCCUUUCUGGAAUUAGGCCCAAUAUAAACAAACUACAGGUAAAUCAUAUCAAAGAUUGACCCAUUUAAUACAGAUAUGAGCGAGAAAUGGAUGAGAGAGGAAAACCCUCAGGGACUGGAACCUGUAGUCACAUACCUCAGCUCACCUUUCCAGAUUUGCCAACAAGGAGAACCCGUGACUGAUUUGGAUUCUCUGCUUUCUGUUCUUGUUCCCUGGAGGCGUUCCUUCUGUGUAAGGAAACGUCAGAUUUGGGAACUAGACAAGCUAUUUCAGAAUUACGCGUGGUGUUGAUUACAAAUGCGAGGCUCACUAAAUCAAGAGCUCCAGAAGCAGCGUCUUGGAAUUUGUCUUUAACGACAACCCUGGUGCUUCCAGUGUACACACAAGUCCAGAAGCCCAGAGUGGAAGCAGAGGCGAGAGGCUGGGGUGUCACACUGACAGACAACGACCCCACCGACCACCCGCACAGGACCCUCCUUUUCUGAGGAAGGCACAGGUUGACUAAAUGAUUGCAACGUGGCAAUCUUGAGUUUCUAGACUGUUGCCAGAAAGGCUUCCUUGGCCCUCAGCCAGGGCCCCACCCCUAUAAUCCUGCCUUCCCCCAACUCCUACCACGGGCUCCAAUCCCGAAGAUUUUGGGGGCCCCCGGAACUGGGCUUUUCUCACCACGGAUAAACAGUGUUUGUGUGUACAAACCCAGUGGCCUCCCCAGGAGACUGCAGACAUACUUUGUGGUACUUCACCUAAGUGUGGCUCUUCUGAGCGCAGAUCCACUUUCCCUCUGAGGCUGACUCUUCCAGGAUGGCCUUCCUCGGUUCCAGCUUGGGCCACCCUGGGCCACCCUGGGGCCCCUCUGCACACAGAAAAUAAAUUUUCUGCAAAGCAGAUACAAUUUGUUCUCCUUGAGUUAUGGAAACAAAGAGGCUUUAGGACGGUGCUGUCCUCCCAUCUUCAGAUGUCAGAGACACCUUUCUCCUCUUGAAAGAGACAAUUUUGUUCUGCUGAUGGCAGUACAGGCACCGUAUCAGCAGCACCCGGAAGAGCACCUGGCAGGAUCUAAGCGCUUGGAAAUGCUCUUGAUGAAGAAGAAACUAUAAAACCGCUCAUUAUAAAAUCAUCUUGGUGUGUUGGCUCUAACGUUUGUUUUCAUAUCCUGCGCCUACCUCCUCAAACACCUCCCCGUCACCCCUCCAUCUGCUCGCACAUCAACAAACAGGCAUGGAGCACAGGCUGGAGAGCAGCAUGCACCUGGCUCUGAGGCGUCCCCAGGGACAGUCAUGUGAACAGGCGGUCCGGCCCCAGGUUUUCAGGGUCUAGUCCAGAAGGGGGCACGUGAGGCUAGCGUUUGGAGUUGUUAGGCCUCUGCAACUACCUGAAGAUGGAAGAGAAGGUAUCCUGUGCUCUGUGCUCAGAGGAGAGAAGGAAGGCCGCUGCGGCAGAGGCAAAGUCACGUGUCCCUGCCAGCACGCGGCUAGAAUAACUCAGGCAGGAGGAGGCCAGAGAAGGACGCAGAGGGGGACCAGCCGUGCACCAGACGCACAGAGAGCAAAACCGUGGGGCCAGCCACUCCUUGGCGGUUCUCCUGGGUUGACAUCCCACCAAGCAAAUUAGAACCAGCUUUAAUGUUUGAUAAGGAGACACCAAGACUAGAGAAAUCCAGGGGAGCUGCAUUCAUGAGGUGGCACCAUUC